Molecule: ribosomal RNA, 85 nt
Filed under: Clostridiaceae bacterium OF09-1
Lineage: Bacteria; Bacillati; Bacillota; Clostridia; Eubacteriales; Clostridiaceae
Description: partial 23S ribosomal RNA
Rfam family: Bacterial large subunit ribosomal RNA
Source: RNAcentral
AAGACGACGAGGUAGAUAGGGCAGAGGUGGAAGUGCAGUAAUGCAUGGAGCUGACUGUUACUAAUAGGUCGAGGGCUUAACCAAG